AUGGUGGCGGCGGCGCCGUGCGCCACGCGGAGGUCGUUCAGGGACUCGCUCAAGGUGCUGGAGGCGGACAUCCAGCACGCCAACACCCUGGCGUCGGAGUGCUCGCGGGACUACGACGGGGCGUGCGUGCAGAUGCGCAUGUCCUACAGCCCCGCCGCGCGCCUCUUCCUCUUCCUCCUCCAGUGGACCGACUGCAGCCUCGCCGGCGCGCUCGGCCUCCUCAGGAUCCUCAUCUACAAGGUCUAUGUGGACGGCACAACCACCAUGUCCACCCACGAAAGGAAGGCCAGCAUCAGGGAGUUCUACGCUGUGAUAUUCCCCUCCCUCAUGCAACUGGAGCACGGGAUCAGCGACUCCGACGACCGGAGGCAGAGGGCGGCGUGCUCGGAGAGGUACAGGAGGAGAGACGAGCCGGAGGACAGCAAGAGGCCCGUCUCCGAGAUCGACGCCGAGAUAGAGGAGGAGUGCGGGAUCUGCAUGGAGCUCAACAGCAGGGUCGUGCUGCCCAACUGCAGCCACGACAUGUGCAUCAAGUGCUACCAUCAAUGGCGCACGAGAUCUCAGUCAUGCCCCUUCUGCCGGGACAGCCUCAAAAGAGUGAACUCCGGCGACCUAUGGAUGCUCACCGACCAGCGCGACGUCGUCGACAUGGCGACGGUGACGAGGGAGAACAUCAGGCGCCUGUUCGCAUACAUCGAGAAGCUGCCCCUCGUCACGCUGGACAACAUCUUCGAUGCCUAUGAUUCCCAUAGGAUGUUCCUCGUCCUAGGAUGUGGCUGA
RNAcentral lists this ribosomal RNA (780 nucleotides) under Triticum aestivum (bread wheat). RNAcentral's name for it is "partial small subunit ribosomal RNA". Lineage: Eukaryota; Viridiplantae; Streptophyta; Magnoliopsida; Poales; Poaceae. The record is from RNAcentral.